Molecule: RNA transcript, 638 nt
Organism: Rhinopithecus roxellana (golden snub-nosed monkey)
Lineage: Eukaryota; Metazoa; Chordata; Mammalia; Primates; Cercopithecidae
Gene name: elongation factor 1-alpha 1 pseudogene
Exons: 2
Source: RefSeq, a predicted model, not a curated record
AUGGAGAUUCGCUAUGGUUCUACCGUUGUUGCUUGCUCAGUUCGACAUGGGAAUGUCAAGAAUGUGUCUGUCAAGGAUGUUCGUCAUGGCAACGUUGCCGGUGACAGCAAAACGACCCACCAAUGGAAGCAGCUGGCUUCACUGCUCAGGUGAUUAUGCUGAACCAUCCAGGCCAAAUAAGUGCUGGCUAUGCCCUGUGUUGGAUUGCCAAACGGCUCACAUUGCAUGCAAGAUUGCUGAGCUGAAGGAAAAGAUUGAUCGCCGUUCUGGUAAAAAACUGGAAGAUGGCCCUACAUUCUUGAAGUCUGGUGAUGCUGCCAUUGUUGAUAUGGUUCCUGGCAAGCCUAUGUGUGUUAAGAGCUUCUCAGACUAUCCACCUUUGGGUCACUUUGCUGCUCGUGAUAUGAGGCAGACAGUUGGGGUGAGUGUCAUCAAAGCAGUGGACAAGAAGGCUGCUGGAACUGGCAAGGUCACCAAGUCUGCCCAGAAAGCUCAGAAGGCUAAAUGAAUAUUAUCCCUAAUACCUGCCACCCCACUCUUAUUUAGUGAUGGAAGAACGGUCUCAGAACUGUUUGUUUCAAUUGGCCAUUUAAGUUUAGUAGUAAAAGACUGGUUAAUGAUAACAAUGCAUCGUAAAA